RNAcentral lists this ribosomal RNA (343 nucleotides) under Plectostoma umbilicatum. Its description in RNAcentral is "SSU rRNA". It matches the Rfam family "Eukaryotic small subunit ribosomal RNA", at positions 62 to 397 of the family's 1831-position model. RNAcentral also lists the same sequence under 1 other name. The record is from RNAcentral. Lineage: Eukaryota; Metazoa; Mollusca; Gastropoda; Architaenioglossa; Diplommatinidae.
AGUUCCAACCCUCGUACGGUGAAACCGCGAAUGGCUCAUUAAAUCAGUCGAGGUUCCUUAGAUGAUCCAAAUCCUACUUGGAUAACUGUGGUAAUUCUAGAGCUAAUACAUGCGGACAAGCUCCGACCCUCGCGGGGAAGAGCGCUUUUAUUAGUUCAAAACCAGUCGGGGUUUCGGCUCCGUCCUUUGGUGACUCUGGAUAACUUUGUGCCGAUCGCAUGGCCUCGAGCCGGCGACGCAUCUUUCAAAUGUCUGCCCUAUCAAAUGACGAUGGUACGUGACAGGCCUACCAUGUUUACUACGGGUAGCGGGGAAUCAGGGUUCGAUUCCGGAGAGGGAGCAU